RNAcentral lists this unclassified non-coding RNA (297 nucleotides) under Spizellomyces dolichospermus. RNAcentral's name for it is "partial internal transcribed spacer region". The stretch from base 1 to 46 matches the Rfam family "Eukaryotic small subunit ribosomal RNA", at positions 1786 to 1831 of the family's 1831-position model. Lineage: Eukaryota; Fungi; Chytridiomycota; Chytridiomycetes; Spizellomycetales; Spizellomycetaceae. The record is from RNAcentral.
AAGUCGUAACAAGGUAACCGUAGGUGAACCUGCGGUUGGAUCAUUAAAAAUGAACAAUUGCCUCUCAUUGUUUGUACUACACAAUGAAUGUUGGCCACACAUCUUGUGCACUGUAUCGUCUUUGGUGGUGGGAUGGCAGCUGUUCACAGCAGUGCGCCAUCUGUCAGCUCGAAUCGAAUGGUUCGCGGCCGUGGACAAGCCACCGCAUGUUUCUAAACACUUGCUUUUGUUUUUUGGACUUACAUUUUUAUUGUAUGAAAUUACAAACAACUUUUGGCAACGGAUCUCUUGGUUCUC